GGCUAAUAUGCGACGGGCGCAGCGCCAUCAGUCAUUUGAUCCGUCCGCUGUUCAUGGCGUCACCCAGUUUGCCGAUUUGACUCCUUUCGAGUUUCGGAAGGCAUUUCUAGGGCUUCGAGGUCAUCGUCUCCGACUUCCUGUUGAUACUAAUGCGGCUCCGAUUCUUCCCACGGAGAAUCUUCCGACUGAUUUUGAUUGGAG
RNAcentral lists this unclassified non-coding RNA (201 nucleotides) under Hevea brasiliensis (rubber tree). The record is from RNAcentral. Lineage: Eukaryota; Viridiplantae; Streptophyta; Magnoliopsida; Malpighiales; Euphorbiaceae.